This 429-nucleotide ribosomal RNA is filed under the name Bacteroidota bacterium. Its description in RNAcentral is "Bacteroidetes bacterium partial 16S ribosomal RNA". It matches the Rfam family "Bacterial small subunit ribosomal RNA", at positions 355 to 776 of the family's 1533-position model. The record is from RNAcentral. Lineage: Bacteria; Pseudomonadati; Bacteroidota.
UAGGGAAUCUUCCGCAAUGGACGCAAGUCUGACGUAGCAACGCCGCGUGAGUGAAGAAGGAUUUCGGUUCGUAAAACUCUGUUGUUAGAGAAGAACAGCGCAUAGAGUAACUGUUAUGCGUGUGACGGUAUCUAACCAGAAAGCCACGGCUAACUACGUGCCAGCAGCCGCGGUAAUACGUAGGUGGCAAGCGUUGUCCGGAUUUAUUGUGCGUAAAGCGAGCGCAGGCGGUCAAUUAAGUCUGAUGUGAAAGCCCCCGGCUCAACCGGGGAGGGUCAUUGGAAACUGGUUGACUUGAGUGCAGAAGAGGAGAGUGGAAUUCCAUGUGUAGCGGUGAAAUGCGUAGAUAUAUGGAGGAACACCAGUGGCGAAGGCGACUUUCUGGUCUGUAACUGACGCUGAUGUGCGAAAGCGUGGGAAUCAAACAGG